GGUUUCUUGUAUAAAAGUAGGAGAUUUAACCUGCCCAUUGAAUAAAGGAUUAAAAGGCCGCAGUAAUUUGACUGUGCAAAGGUAGCAUAAUCAUUAGUUUUUUAAUUGAAAGCUAGAAUGAAUGGUUGAACGAGGUAAAAGCUGUUUUAUAGUAAAUGAAUUGAAUUUAUAAAUUAAGUAAAAAGACUUAAAUAUAUUAAGGGGCGAGAAGACCCUAUAGAGUUUAAUAAAUUUAUUUUUAAUUAAGUUUAAUUAAAAAAUUUUUAAUUAUGGAAAGGUUUAUUUAAUUGGGGAGAUUAAAAAAUAAAAAAAACUUUUUUUUUUGUUGAAUUUAUAUAAUUAGAUGAUGGAUCCAUUAUUAGUGAUAAAAAGAUUAAAUUACCUUAGGGAUAACAGCAUAAUUUUCUUUAAAAGUUCAUAUUGAAAAGAGAGAUUAUGACCUCGAUGUUGGAUUAAGAUAAAUUUUGGGUGUAGAUGUUCAAAAAUUAGGUCUGUUCGACCUUUAAAAUCUUACA
RNAcentral lists this ribosomal RNA (515 nucleotides) under Acanthops erosula. RNAcentral's name for it is "partial 16S ribosomal RNA". It matches the Rfam family "Bacterial large subunit ribosomal RNA", at positions 1819 to 2600 of the family's 2925-position model. Lineage: Eukaryota; Metazoa; Arthropoda; Insecta; Mantodea; Acanthopidae. The record is from RNAcentral.